UGCUGGUUUCGUGGGGGAGCAGAGCCAGACUUCCACGUGGGGCUCGGCGCAGGAUUUGCUUUCCACCGCAGCUGUGGUCGGGCGGCUCAGACGGCACCGUCCCUCUUUCAGAGAGUGGCUCUGGGGACGGAGAGAGGAAGGAUGUGCCGUGUGCCCAUUGCUGGUUGGAGACCUCUGAACUAGAAGUAGAUCCUGACCUCUGAACUGAAAGCAGACCUUGACCUCUGAACUGGAAGUAGACCCUGACCUCUGAACUGGAAGCAGACCUUGACCUCUGAACUGGAAGUAGACCCUGACCUCUCUGGGGUCCUGCCACUGUUCAGCAGCCCCGGUGUCCCCUCGAGGGCCAGCUAACUUCUGCACCGGUCACAGAACCUGCCCUUUGCCUCCCUUGCCAGGACAUUAACAUUCACGAAUAUAUUAUUCGUGAACUAUUAAGUGCUUGGGAUGUUAUAAAAAGUGCACUGUGUGUUCAUAAGAGCGAGGGGCUCCUGGCUGGUCUGGUCCCCUCUGUAGAGUUGGGGUUCUUGUCCACAGUGGUGCUUGGAGUCAGGUCCUCCCGGUCCACUCAGGGUCAUUUCUCAAGGUCAUUCCUCAGGUCAGGCCCUGUCAGGUUAGGUCACUUCCCUUCAAGUCUGUUUUGCAGUUUUCUUCGGCCUGUUUAUGCUUUUCUAGUUCAAACGUGGCUUCCCUAGCUUCUCUUUGAUACCAAACUGUCUUAAAGGGUUGAGAUCAUGAAAUUUGACGA
Physeter macrocephalus (sperm whale) is the source of this 748-nucleotide long non-coding RNA. RefSeq lists it as uncharacterized. The transcript is spliced from 2 exons. The record is from RefSeq and is a predicted model, not a curated record. NCBI's taxonomy places the organism in Eukaryota, Metazoa, Chordata, Mammalia, Artiodactyla, Physeteridae.